RNAcentral lists this ribosomal RNA (797 nucleotides) under uncultured Methanosarcina sp. Its description in RNAcentral is "SSU rRNA". It matches the Rfam family "Archaeal small subunit ribosomal RNA", at positions 85 to 879 of the family's 1478-position model. The record is from RNAcentral. Lineage: Archaea; Methanobacteriati; Methanobacteriota; Methanomicrobia; Methanosarcinales; Methanosarcinaceae.
ACGGCUCAGUAACACGUGGAUAACCUGCCCUUGGGACCGGCAUAACCCCGGGAAACUGGGGAUAAUUCCGGAUACCGCAUAUAUGCUGGAAUGCUUUAUGCGUGAAAUGGAUUCGUCUGCCCAAGGAUGGGUCUGCGGCCUAUCAGGUAGUAGUGGGUGUAAUGUACCUACUAGCCUACAACGGGUACGGGUUGUGAGAGCAAGAGCCCGGAGAUGGAUUCUGAGACAUGAAUCCAGGCCCUACGGGGCGCAGCAGGCGCGAAAACUUUACAAUGCGGGAAACCGUGAUAAGGGGACACCGAGUGCCAGCAUCAUAUGCUGGCUGUCCAGGUGUGUAAAAUACACCUGUUAGCAAGGGCCGGGCAAGACCGGUGCCAGCCGCCGCGGUAACACCGGCGGCCCGAGUGGUGAUCGUGAUUAUUGGGUCUAAAGGGUCCGUAGCCGGUUUGGUCAGUCCUCCGGGAAAUCUGACAGCUCAACUGUUAGGCUUUCGGGGGAUACUGCCAGACUUGGAACCGGGAGAGGUAAGAUGGUACUACAGGGGUAGGAGUGAAAUCUUGUAAUCCCUGUGGGACCACCUGUGGCGAAGGCGUCUUACCAGAACGGGUUCGACGGUGAGGGACGAAAGCUGGGGGCACGAACCGGAUUAGAUACCCGGGUAGUCCCAGCCGUAAACGAUGCUCGCUAGGUGUCAGGCAUGGCGCGACCGUGUCUGGUGCCGCAGGGAAGCCGUGAAGCGAGCCACCUGGGAAGUACGGCCGCAAGGCUGAAACUUAAAGGAAUUGGCGGGGGAGCAC